This 441-nucleotide ribosomal RNA is filed under the name uncultured bacterium. Its description in RNAcentral is "partial 16S ribosomal RNA". It matches the Rfam family "Bacterial small subunit ribosomal RNA", at positions 338 to 795 of the family's 1533-position model. The record is from RNAcentral.
CCUACGGGAGACAGCAGUGGGGAAUAUUGCACAAUGGGGGAAACCCUGAUGCAGCAACGCCGCGUGAAGGAAGACGGUUUUCGGAUUGUAAACUUCUGUUCUUAGUGAAGAAUAAUGACGGUACCUGACUAAGAAGCCCCGGCUAACUACGUGCCAGCAGCCGCGGUAAUACGUAGGGGGCAAGCGUUAUCCGGAUUUACUGGGUGUAAAGGGAGCGUAGACGGCUGUGCAAGUCUGAAGUGAAAGCCCGUGGCUCAACCGCGGAACUGCUUUUGAAACUGUAUAGCUUGAGUACUGGAGAGGCAGGCGGAAUUCCUAGUGUAGCGGUGAAAUGCGUAGAUAUUAGGAGGAACACCAGUGGCGAAGGCGGCCUGCUGGACAGAAACUGACGUUGAGGCUCGAAAGCGUGGGGAGCAAACAGGAUUAGAUACCCUAGUAGUC